Dermochelys coriacea (leatherback sea turtle) is the source of this 648-nucleotide long non-coding RNA. RefSeq lists it as uncharacterized. The record is from RefSeq and is a predicted model, not a curated record. Lineage: Eukaryota; Metazoa; Chordata; Testudines; Dermochelyidae. The transcript is spliced from 4 exons.
UUUCAUGGAGGAGACUUGGGAGGAGAUUUGGGGGGUUCUUAUCUGACUGACACCCUGAGUUAUUUUCUGGUCUCUUCUGUCACUUUUAUUUUACAAGGGCAGUUAGCUGCAGUGGAAAUGAUUAUCCCGGCGUGGUCAGACUUUCUCACAGUGGCUGUUUGUGCUCGGUUCCCAUCCUCAAGAAUUGAGGAACCCCAAAUCAGAGCAAUAUCAUUUUGUGAUCAAGUAUAUUCUGAGUUUCUUUGAAAAGCACCUCUGAAGGUUCCGAUAUUGGCCAGUGCUUGAAGCAACAUACUGGAGUUGAUUUGCAACAGGGAAGGCAGCCAUUGCUCUGACAUGUAUAACCCAUAAGUGUCUGGGUACAUGCAUCGUGAACCAGUACAGACUUGCAGCACCACCCGCAAAUGAACUAUUAAAUUUUAAUCUGCUGUAUUUCUUUUAAUGAUGAUUGAAUCCUGUGAUGCCUGAGUGUGCAGUUCCCUCAUCAUCUCUUCCCUUCAGGUUGCUGGCCCUCCCCAUCCCAAGUACCCAAGCACCUUCAGUGAUGUUUCUAUUGCAGCAGUUUUACUGUCUGGUGUCUGUCCUGCCGCUUUUCAUUCCAUUCCUAACAAAAAGAUUCUAAUGUAAUGGUAAUGAACGUAUUUCCCU